RNAcentral lists this ribosomal RNA (406 nucleotides) under uncultured bacterium. RNAcentral describes it as "partial 16S ribosomal RNA". It matches the Rfam family "Bacterial small subunit ribosomal RNA", at positions 29 to 526 of the family's 1533-position model. The record is from RNAcentral.
AUUGAACGCUGGCGGCAGGCCUAACACAUGCAAGUCGAGCGAGCGGCGGCCGGGUGAGUAAUGUCUGGGAAACUGCCUGAUGGAGGGGGAUAACUACCGGAAACGGUAGCUAAUACCGCAUACCAUCAGAAUUGCCCAGAUGGGAUUAGCUAGUAGGUGGGGUAACGGCCCACCUAGGCGACGAUCCCUAGCUGGUCUUAGAGGAUGACCAGGCACACGGGAACGGGGAAACGGUCCAGACUCCUAAGGGAGGCAGCAGUGGGGAAUAUGGCACAAUGGGCGCAGGCCUGAUGCAGCCACGCCGCGUGUGUGAAGAAGGCCUUCGGGUUGUAAAGCACUUUCAGCGGGGAGGCGUUACCCGCAGAAGAAGCACCGGCUAACUCCGUGCCAGCAGCCGCGGUAAUUC